GCCGAGGUAGCCAAGGUGGUCACGGCGGGGCUCUGAAAAAGCUCAGAUGCGUGUUCGACUCACGCCCUCGGCACCA
Molecule: transfer RNA, 76 nt
Filed under: Candidatus Chisholmbacteria bacterium RIFCSPHIGHO2_01_FULL_48_12
Lineage: Bacteria; Candidatus Chisholmiibacteriota
Description: tRNA-Phe
Rfam family: tRNA
About the family: Transfer RNA (tRNA) molecules are approximately 80 nucleotides in length. Their secondary structure includes four short double-helical elements and three loops (D, anti-codon, and T loops).
Source: RNAcentral